This 1221-nucleotide long non-coding RNA is filed under the name Homo sapiens (human). Its description in RNAcentral is "long non-coding RNA NONHSAT164167.1". The record is from RNAcentral. Lineage: Eukaryota; Metazoa; Chordata; Mammalia; Primates; Hominidae.
GGUCACGGGAAUCCCCAUGAACUGCUCUGUGAAACUGCAGCUGAGCCUCUACAUGAAAUCUGUCGCAGGCAUUGGACAAACUGGGAAGAUUGAGCCUGUGGUCCUGCCGCUGCUCUGGUUUGCAGAGAGCGGGGCCAUGGAGGGGGAGACUCUUCACACAUUCUACACUCAGCUGGUGUUGAUGCCCAAGGUGAUGCACUAUGCCCAGUACGUCCUCCUGGCGCUGGGCUGCGUCCUGCUGCUGGUCCCUGUCAUCUGCCAAAUCCGGAGCCAAGUAGGACACCGUGAGCCAGCCAGGCCUGGCCGCUGGGCCUGACCGGCCCCCCAGCCCCUACACCCCGCUUCUCCCGGACUCUCCCAGCGGACAGCCCCCCAGCCCCACAGCCUGAGCCUCCCAGCUGCCAUGUGCCUGUUGCACACCUGCACACACGCCCUGGCACACAUACACACAUGCGUGCAGGCUUGUGCAGACACUCAGGGAUGGAGCUGCUGCUGAAGGGACUUGUAGGGAGAGGCUCGUCAACAAGCACUGUUCUGGAACCUUCUCUCCACGUGGCCCACAGGCCUGACCACAGGGGCUGUGGGUCCUGCGUCCCCUUCCUCGGGUGAGCCUGGCCUGUCCCGUUCAGCCGUUGGGCCCAGGCUUCCUCCCCUCCAAGGUGAAACACUGCAGUCCCGGUGUGGUGGCUCCCCAUGCAGGACGGGCCAGGCUGGGAGUGCCGCCUUCCUGUGCCAAAUUCAGUGGGGACUCAGUGCCCAGGCCCUGGCCACGAGCUUUGGCCUUGGUCUACCUGCCAGGCCAGGCAAAGCGCCUUUACACAGGCCUCGGAAAACAAUGGAGUGAGCACAAGAUGCCCUGUGCAGCUGCCCGAGGGUCUCCGCCCACCCCGGCCGGACUUUGAUCCCCCCGAAGUCUUCACAGGCACUGCAUCGGGUUGUCUGGCGCCCUUUUCCUCCAGCCUAAACUGACAUCAUCCUAUGGACUGAGCCGGCCACUCUCUGGCCGAAGUGGCCGCAGGCUGUGCCCCCGAGCUGCCCCCACCCCCUCACAGGGUCCCUCAGAUUAUAGGUGCCCAGGCUGAGGUGAAGAGGCCUGGGGGCCCUGCCUUCCGGGCGCUCCUGGACCCUGGGGCAAACCUGUGACCCUUUUCUACUGGAAUAGAAAUGAGUUUUAUCAUCUUUGAAAAAUAAUUCACUCUUGAAGUAAUAAACGUUUAAAAA